AUAGGUGUAACUAACCGUAGCAUAUUUUUACACCCAAAGUCCCCUUGAGCGGGGCUACAGUCCAUAGAAGGUGCUAGACCUGUACGGGUGAAAAAAGUUACGGUACGGUUACACUUUAGAGUCGGGUUGUUUGAGAUUGCAGCCCAAAGAGGGUGGUAAACCUCAUCUAAGGCUAAAUAUGACCACGAGACCGAUAGCAAACAAGUACCGUGAGGGAAAGUUGCAAAGAACUUUGAAGAGAGAGUUCAAGAGGGCGUGAAACCGCUGAGAUGGAAACGGAUAGAGUUAACGAAACUUAUCGGUAUUCAGCCAAUCAAUUUAGCAAUCUUAAAUUGAUUUAUCAUUUUUAUUGGGUAACACCGAUGAAAAUGAAAUGAUAUUUAAGAGAUGGGUGCUAAAUUAUCCAAUGUAUGCAAAAAAAAUGAUUGGUGUAUUUACCGAUGGUAUGCAUCGAAAGCUUCGUUUUAGCAUAUUGAUAGAACAAUUUAGUGGACCAAUUAUUCAAUGAAUAAUUGUAAUCCUAAAUUUUUUGGAAAUAUGUCUGAAAUGAAGUUUCAUUUCCCAUACAUGUAACUCUCACUUGAAAUAAUAGUGACAUGCAUCGAUUAAUAUUUUACCUGUAACAUUUACAUGUAGUCGCAUGCGACUUUAACGGUAAAUGAAUUUAUUGGUAAA
This 675-nucleotide ribosomal RNA is filed under the name Aproctella alessandroi. Its description in RNAcentral is "partial 28S large subunit ribosomal RNA". The stretch from base 1 to 541 matches the Rfam family "Eukaryotic large subunit ribosomal RNA", at positions 151 to 664 of the family's 3401-position model. The record is from RNAcentral. Lineage: Eukaryota; Metazoa; Nematoda; Chromadorea; Rhabditida; Onchocercidae.